Molecule: long non-coding RNA, 5743 nt
Filed under: Nicotiana tabacum (common tobacco)
Lineage: Eukaryota; Viridiplantae; Streptophyta; Magnoliopsida; Solanales; Solanaceae
Description: long non-coding RNA (NTAB_LNC001614)
Source: RNAcentral
CUAAAGCUCCCUAAACAGGCGGUACAUACCUUCUCUCUCUACACCUUCUCUCUCGUUCUCUCUAAACAAGCGAUUCCCCAAAUUAAAUCACUGUAAUAUAAGAGGUUUAAAGAGAUUACAAUGAUGUAAGAUGGUCAUAUCCGUUAACGAUUCUCCCAAAUCCUUUAGCUUUUAUGUAAGGAGAUCAGAUUUCAACUUGUUUAAGGUAAUGUGUUUGAAUUCGUCUAUAAAUAGCCCUUUUCUGAUAAAUACUCGCUUCAAUACGUCUCCGAUUUCAAGCCGUUCAUGUAAUUCCUUCCAAAAUGCUGUUGAUUUCACUGGUUUAAGGCGUGCAUGCGUGUGUAUGGGAUGGAUAUCAGUUUAAACCAAUGAUUUUAGCCGUGAAUUACACUGAUUCAGGUUUCGAUUUUGCUGUUUUAGCCAUUGAUUUCAUUGAUUUUAGGCGUGCAUGUGUGUGUAUUGGACGAAGAUCAGUUUAAAUCACUGAUUUUAGUUGUCGAUUCACUUCUUAAGCCCAUCAAUUUCACGUUUGGCAAUCAAUUUUAUUGAUUCGGCCGCCGAUUUCACUGUUUUAGCUGUCAAUUUCUGCUAAUAGUUUUAUUUUUUUUUCCGUUUAUUUUUGUGUCAAGUUUUGUUACUUUUCUGUUCAAUUAAGUUUGUGUUUGUUUAAAUUUUGACAUCUUUAGUUUUUGUUUUGCUAAUAUUAACCUAAAUAUCAUUUAUGGCCUUGAUAGGUAGCCAAGGAAUCUAAAACAGCUGGUAAAACUAUUGGGAUCGAUGUCGACAAUUAUUUUUGAUAGGUAUAGCCCUUGUCAGUUAACUUUAUCCUUUCUUUUGAGCAGCUUUCUUUUUUUAAAGGUAAAUUGAUUCUCUCAUAAUGUUGAGUUACCUACUAUCAGUGUAAAUUUGUCACUAGAUGGAUAGUUUGUCACUAGAUGGACCUAGUGCUGCUUCUCUUUCAGUUACCACUAACACUUAUGCAGUUACGUAGAGAGAAAGAAAUAGGACAAAUACUCUGUGACUAAUCUUUGUGGUGAAACAAGUACUGAAAUGAUUCAGCAGCUAUAGAGUCUCGUAGUGUAAUCAGAUUGUUCCCAAAAAUAAAAAAAGGAUAGUAUUUAUAGACAGUGCAUAUAUAGUGUUUAUCUGUAUGUAUUACAACUCCUUAAUAUGUCCAUAGAGUCUUGAGGAUGCCAGGAAAAAUGUGGAGAAGAACUAGUUUAUAGUCUGAUUCAACUUUGCUUCUCAGUCUCAGAACACAUAUUUUCCUAUACUAAAGUUCUUCUUGUGUAUAUCUAUGAGAUAGUUGAUCACUCUGUAUACGAGCGAUGGUUUGAAUCUUAGAAUCCCUACUUAGUGAUUAAUGUUGAUGACUCUGAACUUAAGCUAUAAGUCUAUGUGUAAAUGCCCAUCAUAUUGAGUUCGGCCUUGAAAUUUCAUGCCAUAAAGCUUUUCUUCCAUUUGUUUCCUCUUUAUAGUUGGCCAAUUAUGCAUUAGAGGACCUGUUUGUAUUCUGGUACAUAUGCUCUUUGCAUUUAAAUCAUAACUGCAAUAAGUUAUGCAACAACAACGACCCGGUAUAAUCCCACAAGUGAGGUCUGAGGAGGGUAAUAAGUUAUGCUCAUAAGCAUUUAUCUACUUUACCUGCUUUUUCGAAUGCUAGGACUCAAUUGGCGUGUCUACUGAUCAUUUCUAAGUUCAGUUCUUUUGUGUAAUUAAGAUAGAUCAUUUUAUUUCCAUCAUCAUGAAUAGAAUCUUUGCUGUAGACUCCCUUCUCUAUCUCCUAUGUUUAAGUUCUUAAAAAGACAUGACUAUGGGAUUGUAUCCCUACCUCAUGUUUGAUUAAUUUUGAAUAAAUAUAUGUCUUCCUAUUACAUUUGCUCUUUGUGUUUAAGCCAAGUUAGCAUUAGCAACCAUGUAUUAGGACUUUUUCUUUCUUCUCUGCUAAAGUUUUGUGAACAUUAGUCAGAUUCUAUGUGCAAUUUCCUUACUUUUUGGCAUGUAUUUUCCAUGAGUUGAGAAAACGUAUCAAAUAAUGCAUGUUGAUGGUAUAAACAAAUUCAGUUUUUCCUCUAUUACAAUAACGAAGACUUCACUAGACAAGUGACUUUGACGAUAUGGAUAAUUCAUGUAUGUUGUAGUUUUUGUUUUUCCCUGAAUAAGUUGCACAUGUUCUUUUCUUUGUUUAUUUCUCGCUUUAGUUUCCGUUUAUUCUUCAGAAGUUAAAAAGUGAGAUUAAGUGAUUACUAUUCUUUUGAUUUCCAUAUAGUGGCUAUGAACUAGCUUUUUCAUUUUGAUAUUGUGAUGUUAGAUGUUAUCUUAUAUCUUUUUUUCUAGCCAUGCCAAUUGUUGAUACCCGAUUUUUUCCUAUAUAUUUUUAAUAUGCAAAAUAACUUCAAAAUAGCAUAUAUAUGCAUAUGUAAGCAUGUCCAAGUGUUUUAUUAUUUUUUCAUAAUUUUUAAAGGUUUAAAUUGAUUUAUUUUCUCCAUUUUAUACAUAAAAUCUCAAUAAUUAUUUUCAAAAUUAUUAUUUUGAUAAUUCAUCUAUUAGAUUUUUAUAUUUACGCCAAAUAUGGCUAAGGUAAUUUUUACAAUUUUAUUUAGUAUUUUAAAGCUAAAUUGCAUAUAAUUCCAAUAUUAGCUCUUUUUAAGGUUUAAUUAGGUUUUAUAUUCAUAAAAUUAGAUCCUGUAUUUUUAAAUUGUUAUUAAUAUAUUAUAAAUCAAUUUAGCCUCUUAAAUUAGUUUUCAGAAAUUAUUUAUUAUUUUUAUAAAAUUAAAAGGGAAAAAUGGCUAUUUAACUUAUAACCAAAAUUGGCUUUAAAAUCUAGCCCAAAUCGAGUCCCCAAUUCCCUAGCCCAAUUUCGAUUUAAACCCGACCCUAACCUUUUAAACCCAACCCAAACCCGGAUCCCUACCUACCCCAUUUAAUCUAGGCCGUUGAUCAUUCAGAUCAACGACCACAAUUUUACCUGCCUAAAAUAAACCCAAACGACCCCCUUGACCAACUUCAUUUCCACCAAUCCGCCACCCUUGAAUCCCCUUCCUCUCCAAUUCUCUCUGCAACCUCACCCAAACCCUAGCCGCCGCCACCCAAACCAACCCUAAUCCCCUUCGAUUCUCGCCUAAUCCAUGGAUUCCCAUGGCCUUUUGAGACGUGUGCCGGUCUCCUAUGUCUCCUGAUUGCUUGUUUUCAUGAUUUCAUGGAUAGAUCUCAAAGAGAUCUAGUCCAGUCUUGGCUAAACUUCUAUCUAUGGUCUUUCCCCGAUCAUCCAUGGCCGUUCGAGUCAGAUCCAUGACUUUUCGAGCUAGAUCAGUAACUUUUUCAAGUCUUUCUCAUUUUUCUGGGUUCUCCGAAAUCCUAGCUUUAAAGACUUUCUGAUUUUCUUUCAGAUCUGUCGUAGAUCUGUGUAUGUUAUGAACCUCUUAAGUGUUUUCCAUGAAAGUUUUCCGAUUUUUCAAAGCGACUCUUCGUCUUCAACGAUUAGGGUUUUCUUAACCUCUUUUAAAUGAUCUCUUCUCCGAUUUUCAGUGUUGUUUUUACUAUGUUCAAAUGAUUUGUUUAUGAUUUUCUUCUACCUGAUUCAGCAUGUUGAAAACACAAAAUAUCUUUGGUUUUAUCUAGGGUUCUAAAAUCGUCUUUUAUUUUGUAUACUUGUUUCGACUGAGUUCUUUGUGUUUAAAUCUUUUUCUUUAUUUGACUUGACUGAUUCUGAGUUCUUACCUUUUUUAACUCAGCUCUAUUAAAACCCUAAUUUCUUAAAACUUUCCUCACUUGUUAUAGUGAAUUUUUGGAGAUUUCUUUUACUUAUUUCGGCGUGUUGGUCUGAUGUCCUCUACCUGUUGCUAUGUGUUAGACUGUUUCCUUCAUUUUUUUGGUUCUAUGUGACUACUUGACUUUGUUGACUACCAUGUUUCGAGUAGGUUCUCUUACUACUGAAUCCUUAGCCUACUCGUGUUACUGCUGUAUGUUUAUCUAGUUGCUUCUUUUGCCAAUAUAUUUGGCCUUCCAUGUCUGAUACUCCUAUUCAUUCUUUUCUAUUUAUAUGUCGAAGUGCAGAAUCAUGACUCGUUCUUGAUUGAUCUUGAUUUCCUUAAGUUACGGUUUGAUUGCACGGUUUUCUUAUAAACCCCUAGUUUUACUCGUUUUGCUUAAAUUGGUUGAUUCCCUUCCUUUGCUGUGAUGUUUUACCCCUACUGAAUCCUUUCCCAAAAUUAAGUAUAUUUUGUAUUUAGACUCAAUUAUUUACUCUAUACCUUUACUACUUCCUUACAUGGUAAGAAUAAAUCUUUCUCAAAACUGAUUUCUUUCCUUAAUUAUCCUUGUUGGUAUCCAUUAAGCAGUAAUUCCUUGAUUAAAGGGAAGUACUUGUAUUAAUGGGAUUCUGAUUGUAAUUAUUUCUAUAUUUGUGUUAAACUUUUACUUGUUACCUUAUUUUCUACUCGUUUUCAAAGUUAUAAAUACCCUACUCUCUCUUCUCUAAACACACGAACAAUUUAGUUCAGAACAUACACUUACACACUCAAACUCUCUUUUUUCUCUGCUAUUUGUGCUACUGCUUGUCUAGCCAGCGGAAAGCUAAGGCUAGACUGUGGAAUUCUACUCGCUUUACUUUUCUGCACUUUGCUUCUUUGACUGGUAUGUCCUAGUUUAAUUUUAAAGCUCCAACAACAACAUGCUUCAUUGUUUGUUUCAGCUUCUUUUAUUUUUGGUUUACUUCUGCUUGUGGUUCUUUUGAGCAUGCUGUAAUGUUUCCCCUUCACCUUUAAAUUAAUGCACUCCCCUGUGUGUGUUUUAAGGCAUACUUUAUCAAUCAUUUAUUGUGUACUUGCUAUCUUAAUCCCAAACCCCUAUCCCUUCCAUGUGUUUAUGUUCUUUUGGCCAGUUUGUGAUUAUGCCAGUAUCAGCUAUUGCUGUGCAUGUCUAGACCAAACCCCUGCUGGGGUUAUGUGCUUAUUGAAAAAUGUCUAUGUAUCCCCAAAUCCCUUGACCCCCCUGUGUGGCUACUGAUUCUAUGUGUAAUCCCCUCUUGAGGUGUUUGGGUUUUGUUUACUAUUACCACUACUUUCAAUCAUCUCUGUUACUGAUUGCUUUCAAAAAAAUGGAGUUGACAAUCCAGUUUUACACAAACUCUUUUUCAAACUAUGUCAAGAACUCUUACAUAUACUUUUAGAAUACUAGGUUCUGUCCCUUUUGUGUGAGCCUUGCCUUGGGACCCUUAAGUUCCCUCUAAACUUGGACACAUGGAAGCUGGCCUUUCCACACUGCACUUACUCUCUUGGUUAUGCAAUAUGGGUGUGAGCACUGCCCGGAAUCCCUUGAGGUCCUUAGAGAACUCUGACACACCCAGAUAUGAGAAGGCUUUGGAACAAUGUUGGCAUUUGAGGUGGUUUAUUAAAUAACUCAGAGAGGAAGUCAGAAUCAGGUUUCAUAUGGUUGUAAUUACGUAUUUUACAUUUUUACUAUGUAAGUCAAUCAAAUGGUCCGUAAUAAUUUGUAAACAAGUAUGGGGUUGGCUAGUGAAAAGGGAUGAGAAAUAUGCAUGCUAUAGUUGUUAAAGGGUAGAAAGCAUGUUAUUAGGUUUAUAGUCUUAAUUGUGAAAUAGAAACCGUGUUUAGGAUUCAUUUCAUGCAUUAGAGAUCAUGUUCUCUAGGACUUACAUUUACUGUUUUCAGCAUGUCCAUUUCACUAUCAUAUCACUUAUAAAAUCCUGCGUUAAUUAUAUUAAUAACCGGAGUUUCUGCGA